This is a long non-coding RNA of Heterocephalus glaber (naked mole-rat), 1546 nucleotides long. Lineage: Eukaryota; Metazoa; Chordata; Mammalia; Rodentia; Bathyergidae. The record is from Ensembl.
AUCUUAUUCCGUUUUGUGCUGCCAGAAUGGAAGUCUGGAGAUGGUGUAAUUUGUAAAGAACAGAGAUUUAUUUCUUACAUUUCUGGAGGCUGAGAAGUCCAAGAUCCAGUCAUGUGUGGGGAGGCUCUUCUUGUUCAUCAUCCCAUGGUAACAGCAUGGAUCCUUUAAUGAGGAUAAAGUCUGUGUGACCUCAUCACCUCUUCAUCAUCACUGUGUUGAGGAUUCACGUUCCAACAUAGAAACACUGGGCGAUACACUCAAACCAGAGCACGCGCAAGUAUAAUUUUAUGAAAACAGGGCCAAUAACCUAGAUGAAAAGUCUUUUUUUUUUUUUUUUGGUACCGGGAUCGAACUCGGGACCUUGCACUUGCACUACGGCAGGCUCUGGAACCAUUGAGCUAAAUCCCCAGCCCGAUGACCAGGCCGGGAUAAUGACUCUUCUUUUAAUACCUAAUCCAACGGGGGGAAGAUAAGGGACCCAAAGGGACAGUAAUUCUCACCAAUUCUAGUUACUCAUUCAUCCAACAAUUUAAACCAUUAAUAGGGCACUUACUUUGUACCAGGCAUUGAAAAGAUGCAGGAGACUCCACGAUCUCCUUGGAGAUACAAAGAGGAUUCACCUUUCCAUCAACAGUUAUUUACUGAAAACCUACUAUGACAUAAGUUCUAAGCUCAGAGUUGGGUAUAAUGAACAAAGCAGACCAAAGUCCCUGUUCUCCUGGAGCUGGCAUUUCAGGGAAGAGAAGGAUAAGUGAAAUUAGCAUUAUGCACAUAGUCUCACAGAUAGUGAGAAGAGCAAAGGAGGAGGGCUUCCGGAGUGUUCCUGAGGGUGAGCUAACACAAUGCGGAUAAUGAGGGAAGGCUUCACAGUGAGGUGGCAAACUGCACUCAGAAGACAGAGAAAAAGCUGGGCCCUUCCAGCCCCUACCGCCUUCUUCAAAUGUAGUUCUCAGGGGGCAGAAAUGUUAUUUUCUCAUGUUCCCUGCCCGAGGGAUAAUCUCUGGAAACUGACCCAGAGGAUAAGCAAUUGUUGAGCACCAACUAGGCUCCCUCCUUCAGCAUUUACUGAGCAUCUAGCCCUCAAGGAGCUCAGCGUAGACUCACGUGGUCACAAGUCACACCAGCCGGCUGCACCGCGCAUGCACUAGGGUGUCGCAGGUGCCAGGGCGGCCUGGGACUUUCCUAGGUGACCUGUGAACCAGUGGCUCCGCGACUAGGCACAGCCGUUAGCCCCGCAUGUGGACAGGAGGCCGAGCUCAUUGACCCAGGACCCCAAAGCCCUUACCCGGGCCGUAGGCGAAGUCACAAAAUUAGGAGGUGACCUCUGAAGGGCGCCCUGGGCGUCUCCAAGGACCUCGCCACCGCCCGUCAUAGCGCCGCCCCCGCCCCGCCCCGCCCCGCGCCUCCAGGGGCAGCGAGGGAGCAAAAGUCCAGCGGGCGCGCUCCUCGCUCCUGCAGUGUCGCCCCCGGCGCGGCGCGUGACUCCUCCGACUGGGCCGGCGCGGGCAGGAGCGCGCGGCUGCGCGGGACCCAGCGGCGACGCGCG